AAUCAAAUGGAUGUCCGCGAGGAAGAUGAACCGAGAGCUUCCCGCAAGUGCAGGAAUUGCGGUGUAGAGGGCCAUGACCGUAGAAAUUGCACAGUUGGUCGUGUUAUGUAGGAUCCUCACCGACUAAAUUGUUGACAUCUGCAGUGCAGGAGCUUGAGACAAAGAGGACUUAGCAGGAGAAGAGAUGUGUUAUGAUGAAUUGUAGUUUGUUCUAUAUGUCACUAGCACUGUAGUUAAUUUGUUUUGUGUAGUUUCUAUGAAACGUUGUUUCUGUGUAUCUGCCAAUUAAAUCUAAACUUGUGUUUCGGACUA
Salvia splendens (bonfire salvia) is the source of this 312-nucleotide long non-coding RNA. RefSeq lists it as uncharacterized. The transcript has 2 exons. Lineage: Eukaryota; Viridiplantae; Streptophyta; Magnoliopsida; Lamiales; Lamiaceae. The record is from RefSeq and is a predicted model, not a curated record.